This 253-nucleotide ribosomal RNA is filed under the name uncultured bacterium. Its description in RNAcentral is "partial 16S ribosomal RNA". It matches the Rfam family "Bacterial small subunit ribosomal RNA", at positions 524 to 776 of the family's 1533-position model. The record is from RNAcentral.
UACGUAGGGUGCGAGCGUUGUCCGGAAUUAUUGGGCGUAAAGGGCUCGUAGGCGGCCGACCAAGUCGGGUGUGAAAUCCCUCGGCUCAACCGAGGAACUGCACUCGAUACUGGUUGGCUAGAGUCCGGGAGGGGAUGGUGGAAUUCCCAGUGUAGCGGUGAAAUGCGUAGAUAUUGGGAAGAACACCGGUGGCGAAGGCGGCCAUCUGGACCGGAACUGACGCUGAGGCGCGAAAGCCAGGGGAGCGAAUGGG